UUGAAUAUUUGAAGGAUAUCUGGGUUUCAUACAAUAAGCGGUUUUAAUAGAUUAACUGUUUCCAUGUGCUCCUUUGUUAUGCAGAACAAAUUCUUCUAGUUUUCAUGAAUUUCUUCAAUCAUUUAUACCAUCCAACGAAGUCAGCUGGAAGAGCAGCAUGCAUUCCAAGACCUUCCUAUCAUAUCACACUGAAAUAAAGAUACAUUGUAUGUAUGAAAUUGGGAAGAUUUUGGCUCAAAAAAUAUCACCCGAUAGGUUAAAUUACUACAUCUACAUCAUGCUUAUCUUAAAUAAUUGGACAAGCCCAACUACGAAGAAAACAUGUACUAUCUGUAGCUCUAGUAAAUUUUUCACUCUAACAUGUUUGCUUCAUAAAUUCAAAGAUACCACAUUCAGUUAUUCUCUUCCAUAAUCGAUCUUUUUCUAUUCUUCACUACCUGUCUAAUUCACCUCGAUACAUCUUACUUCCAUCUCAACAAAUCUGUUAUAUAUUAUAAGGACAAGCUUGCAUGAAGACCACCACUAAUCUUACCUUGAUGCACCCAGCAGAAAAGGAGUUUUUUAUCGCAAUUUUAUCAUCGUCUUUUUUAACAAUUCAUCCAACUUCUAGUUAAGAAGUCAAGACAGAUGAGACAAAUCAGGAUCUUGUUGACUUUUCUUUUGAUCAACUCAGCAAUACAAUUUGAUCAAAAAAAAAAGAGGGAAAAGCUCAGUAAUAUAAGUAGUUGGCCUACUCCUGUUUUCCAAUAUACUUCUAAUCCUCUGGCAAUCAAGUCUAAAGUUGUCCUU
This 789-nucleotide long non-coding RNA is filed under the name Phoenix dactylifera (date palm). Its description in RNAcentral is "long non-coding RNA (PDAC_LNC016724)". Lineage: Eukaryota; Viridiplantae; Streptophyta; Magnoliopsida; Arecales; Arecaceae. The record is from RNAcentral.